UAGGGAAUCUUCCACGAUGGACGCAAGUCUGAUGGAGCAACGCCGCGUGAGUGAAGAAGGUCUUCGGAUCGUAAAACUCUGUUGUUAGAGAAGAACACGAGUGAGAGUAACUGUUCAUUCGAUGACGGUAUCUAACCAGCAAGUCACGGCUAACUACGUGCCCG
RNAcentral lists this ribosomal RNA (164 nucleotides) under uncultured bacterium. Its description in RNAcentral is "partial 16S rRNA". It matches the Rfam family "Bacterial small subunit ribosomal RNA", at positions 355 to 511 of the family's 1533-position model. The record is from RNAcentral.